UACGUAGGGGGCUAGCGUUGUCCGGAAUCAUUGGGCGUAAAGCGCGUGUAGGCGGCCCGGUAAGUCCGUUGUGAAAGUCGGGGGCUCAACCCUCGAAAGCCGGUGGAUACUGUCGGGCUCGAGUACGGUAGAGGCGAGUGGAAUUCCUGGUGUAGCGGUGAAAUGCGCAGAUAUCAGGAGGAACGCCAAUUGCGAAGGCAGCUCGCUGGGGCGGUACUGACGCUGAGACGCGAAAGCGUGGGGAGCGAACAGG
RNAcentral lists this ribosomal RNA (253 nucleotides) under uncultured bacterium. RNAcentral describes it as "partial 16S ribosomal RNA". It matches the Rfam family "Bacterial small subunit ribosomal RNA", at positions 524 to 776 of the family's 1533-position model. The record is from RNAcentral.